GGAAUAUUGGGCAAUGGAGGCAACUCUGACCCAGCGACGCCGCGUGCGGGAUGAAGGCCUUCGGGUUGUAAACCGCUUUCAGUUGGGAAGAAGCGAAAGUGACGGUACCUACAAAAGAAGCACCGGCUAACUAUGUGCCAGCAGCCGCGGUAAUACAUAGGGUGCAAGCGUUGUCCGGAAUUAUUGGGCGUAAAGAGCUCGUAGGUCGUUUGUUACGUCGGAUGUGAAAACCUGAGGCUCAACCUCAGGCCUGCAUUCGAUACGGGCAAACUAGAGUUUGGUAGGGGAGACUGGAAUUCCUGGUGUAGCGGUGGAAUGCGCAGAUAUCAGGAGGAACACCAAUGGCGAAGGCAGGUCUCUGGGCCAAUACUGACACUGAGGAGCGAAAGUCUGGGGAGCGAACAGGAUUAGAUACCCUGGUAGUCCAGACCGUAAACGGUGGGCACUAGUUGUGGGAACCUUCCACGGUUUCUGCGACGCAGCUAACGCAUUAAGUGCCCCGCCUGGGGAGUACGAUCGCAAGAUUAAAACUCAAAGGAAUUGACGG
Molecule: ribosomal RNA, 547 nt
Filed under: uncultured bacterium
Lineage: Bacteria
Description: bacterial SSU rRNA
Rfam family: Bacterial small subunit ribosomal RNA
Source: RNAcentral